UUAUCAAAGAGUUUGAUCCUGGCUCAGGACGAACGCUGGCGGCGCGCCUAACACAUGCAAGUCGAACGGAGCUUACGUUUUGAAGUUUUCGGA
RNAcentral lists this ribosomal RNA (93 nucleotides) under Anaerotruncus colihominis. Its description in RNAcentral is "partial 16S ribosomal RNA". It matches the Rfam family "Bacterial small subunit ribosomal RNA", at positions 1 to 94 of the family's 1533-position model. The record is from RNAcentral. Lineage: Bacteria; Bacillati; Bacillota; Clostridia; Eubacteriales; Oscillospiraceae.